This 24-nucleotide non-coding RNA is filed under the name Arabidopsis thaliana (thale cress). The record is from RNAcentral. Lineage: Eukaryota; Viridiplantae; Streptophyta; Magnoliopsida; Brassicales; Brassicaceae.
ACGCCGUCAACUUAACCGAUACGA